RNAcentral lists this ribosomal RNA (990 nucleotides) under human gut metagenome. Its description in RNAcentral is "bacterial LSU rRNA". It matches the Rfam family "Bacterial large subunit ribosomal RNA", at positions 1934 to 2925 of the family's 2925-position model. The record is from RNAcentral.
CCGUAACUAUAACGGUCCUAAGGUAGCGAAAUUCCUUGUCGGGUAAGUUCCGACCCGCACGAAAGGCGUAAUGAUUUGAGCGCUGUCUCGACAAUGCACCCGGUGAAAUUGAAGUACCAGUGAAGAUGCUGGUUACCUGCGCCAGGACGGAAAGACCCCAUGGAGCUUUACUCCAGCUUGAUACUGGGAUUCGGUAUUGCAUGUACAGGAUAGGUGGGAGGCUUUGAAUCAUGGACGCCAGUCUGUGAGGAGCCGCUGUUGGGAUACCACCCUUGUGUGACUGGGUUUCUAACCUGCAUCCGUGAACCGGAUGGGGGACAAUGUCAGGCGGGGAGUUUGACUGGGGCGGUCGCCUCCGAAAGGGUAUCGGAGGCGCUCAAAGGUUCCCUCAGAAUGGUUGGAAACCAUUCGAAGAGUGCAAAGGCAGAAGGGAGCUUGACUGCGACACCGACGGGUGGAGCAGGUACGAAAGUAGGACUUAGUGAUCCGGUGGUAUAAAGUGGGAUUGCCAUCGCUCAACGGAUAAAAGCUACCCUGGGGAUAACAGGCUUAUCACUCCCAAGAGUUCACAUCGACGGAGUGGUUUGGCACCUCGAUGUCGGCUCAUCGCAUCCUGGGGCUGUAGUAGGUCCCAAGGGUUGGGCUGUUCGCCCAUUAAAGCGGUACGCGAGCUGGGUUCAGAACGUCGUGAGACAGUUCGGUCCCUAUCCGGCGUGGGCGUAGGAUAUUUGAGAGGAGCUGUCCUUAGUACGAGAGGACCGGGAUGGACGCAUCAAUGGUGGACCAGUUGUCACGCCAGUGGCAUAGCUGGGUAGCUAAAUGCGGAAGGGAUAAACGCUGAAGGCAUCUAAGCGUGAAGCCCCCCUCAAGAUGAGAUAUCCCAUUCGAAAGAAGUAAGACCCCUUGAAGACGACGAGGUAGAUAGGUCAGAGGUGGAAGUGCAGCAAUGCAUGGAGCUGACUGAUACUAAUCGGUCGAGGGCUUGACCAG